GAUGAACACUGGCGGCGUGCUUAACACAUGCAAGUCGAGCGAGUGAGUUCUUCGGAACGAUCUAGCGGCGGACGGGUGAGUAACACGUGGGCAACCUGCCUCAUAGAGGGGAAUAGCCUCCCGAAAGGGAGAUUAAUACCGCAUAAAAUUAUCGAGUGGCAUCACAUGAUAAUCAAAGGAGUAAUCCGCUAUGAGAUGGGCCCGCGGCGCAUUAGCUAGUUGGUGAGGUAACGGCUCACCAAGGCGACGAUGCGUAGCCGACCUGAGAGGGUGAUCGGCCACAUUGGGACUGAGACACGGCCCAGACUCCUACGGGAGGCAGCAGUGGGGAAUAUUGCACAAUGGGGGAAACCCUGACGCAGCAACGCCGCGUGAGUGAUGAAGGUCUUCGGAUUGUAAAGCUCUGUCUUUGGGGACGAUAAUGACGGUACCCAAGGAGGAAGCCACGGCUAACUACGUGCCAGCCGCCGCGGUAA
RNAcentral lists this ribosomal RNA (476 nucleotides) under uncultured bacterium. Its description in RNAcentral is "partial 16S ribosomal RNA". It matches the Rfam family "Bacterial small subunit ribosomal RNA", at positions 28 to 523 of the family's 1533-position model. The record is from RNAcentral.